GUGGCAUUAGCUCAGCUGGUUAGAGCACCAGAUUGUGGAUCUGGGGGUCGAGGGUUCAAAUCCCUUAUGCCACCCA
Molecule: transfer RNA, 76 nt
Filed under: Chloroflexota bacterium
Lineage: Bacteria; Bacillati; Chloroflexota
Description: Chloroflexi bacterium tRNA-His
Rfam family: tRNA
About the family: Transfer RNA (tRNA) molecules are approximately 80 nucleotides in length. Their secondary structure includes four short double-helical elements and three loops (D, anti-codon, and T loops).
Source: RNAcentral